GUAGUCCACGCCGUAAACGAUGUCAACUAGCCGUAGGGAGCAUCUGGCUCUUUGUGGCGCAGCUAACGCGAUAAGUUGACCGCCUGGGGAGUACGGCCGCAAGGCUAAAACUCAAAUGAAUUGACGGGGGCCCGCACAAGCGGUGGAGCAUGUGGUUUAAUUCGAUGCAACGCGAAAAACCUUACCUGCCCUUGACAUGUCAGGAAUCUUUCAGAGAUGAGAGAGUGCCUUCGGGAACCUGAACACAGGUGCUGCAUGGCUGUCGUCAGCUCGUGUCGUGAGAUGUUGGGUUAAGUCCCGUAACGAGCGCAACCCUUGUCCUUAGUUGCCAGCGGUUCGGCCGGGAACUCUAAGGAGACUGCCGGUGAUAAACCGGA
Molecule: ribosomal RNA, 377 nt
Filed under: uncultured bacterium
Lineage: Bacteria
Description: bacterial SSU rRNA
Rfam family: Bacterial small subunit ribosomal RNA
Source: RNAcentral